GGGGGCGGUCAGGUGUGUCCCCCCCCCCCAAGGUGACAUCGAUGUCCCCCCCUCCACCCAUAGAGGCUCAUUGGGGUGGUGGUGGGGGGGUCAGCUGUGUCGUCCCCCCCCAUAGAGGCUCAUGGAGGGGGGGGGUCAGGUGUGUCCCCCCCCCCAAUCCAUAGAGGCUCAUUGGGGGGGGGGUCAGGUGUGUGUCCCCCCCCCUCAAGGUCACAUCGGUGCCCCCCCCACCCAUAGAGGCUCAUGGAGGGGGGUCAGGUGUGUUUCCCCCCCCCCGCUAGGUGACAUCGAUGUCCCCCCCCACCCAUAGAGGCUCAUGGGGGGGGGCUUAGGUGUGUCCCCCCCCCCCAAGGUGACAUUGGUGUCACCCCCCCACCCAUAGAGGCUCAUUGGGGUGGGGGGGGAGGGUGAUAUGUGUUCCCCCCACCCAUAGAGGCUCAUUGGGGGGGGGGUUAGGUGUGUGUCCCCCCCUCCCAAGGUGACAUCGAUGUCCCCCCCCACCCAUAGAGGCUCGUGGGGGGGGGGUCAGGUGUGCCCCCCCCCAAGGUGACAUCGGUGCCCCCCCUCCACCCAUAGAGGCUCAUUGUGGGGGGGGGGGGGAGGGUUCAGUUGUGUUCCCCCCCACCCAUAGAGGCUCAUUGGGGGGGGGUCAGGUAUGUGUGUCCCCCCCCUUAAGGUGACAUCGCUGUGUCCCCCCCUCCCCAUAGAGGCUCAUGGGGGAGGGGGGGGGGGUCAGCUGUGUCCCCCCCCCCCCCCCCCAAGGUGACAUCAGUGCCCCCCCCCCAACCCAUAGAGGCUCAUGGGGGUGGGGGGGGGGGGUCCAUCGGAACGGAGCUGAUGAGGAACACUUUGACGUAAUGCACCGCCUGUAAGGGGGGGGGGGG
Molecule: long non-coding RNA, 884 nt
Filed under: Gallus gallus (chicken)
Lineage: Eukaryota; Metazoa; Chordata; Aves; Galliformes; Phasianidae
Description: lncRNA (ENSGALG00010000385.1)
Source: RNAcentral